Long non-coding RNA from Brassica napus (rape), 5545 nucleotides. RefSeq lists it as uncharacterized. Lineage: Eukaryota; Viridiplantae; Streptophyta; Magnoliopsida; Brassicales; Brassicaceae. The record is from RefSeq and is a predicted model, not a curated record. The transcript is spliced from 2 exons.
UAAAUAAAAACAUUGGAUUACUCAUAUCCGCAAGACUUGUAAAGAGUGGCAUCGAUCAUGUUACUCCCCGCGUCUUGAUCUUCUUGAUUUCUCUACACUUUUAGCUACACUUUCCAAUCAAUAGAUUAUUUAUUUGACAUGGAAUAGAACAAUCGCCUAACAUCAACAACAACACAGCACGGAGGGGGAGGAAGAGAGAGAGAGAGAGUAUCUCUAUCCUAUGUUUAUUAAGGGUGUGACUAGUUCAAACGCUGCGGUUGCGGUUGCGAGAGUUUGCGGAUGGUUACAGUUUCUAGCGGUUUUAAGAGAUUUGUACGACUGAUUAUGCAGUUAGAAAUUGGUGCGUUUGUGUGAUAUUUAUAACUGGUUAACUACCAAACGCACCAGCGGUUAAAUAAUAAAUUAACAAUAUUUACAUUUAAUAUAAUUAUAAAAAUAUCAAAAAUCAUAAUAUUAUAAUAAAUAUAAAAAUAUAUUUAGACAGUUAUAGUUUAAAUUUUUUAAAAAUUAUAGAAAAUAUUUUAUUUAAAAAUUUUAUAAUAUUAGUUAAAAUAUAAUAGAUAUAUUUUACUAACUUUUAUAAUUUUAAUUUAAAAUUUAUAUUGAAUAUUUUAUUUUUUUAUUUAUAUUGUUUAAAAAAAAAAAAUGUAUCCUCCCGCAAACGCUAACUGGAACCAGCUUUUGAAUUUAUGAGGUUUAAAGCAGUUUGAAUCAGUUUAGAGCGGUUUGAGUGAUUGUUGCAAAAUACCAACAAUCGCUACCAACCGCAAAAACUACGUUUGAAGGUGGUAACAAGGAAACCAGUCAUAUCCAAAAUAGAAUAAAACAAAACAAGAUAAUGUCUCAUUUAAAUUUUGAAAUUGAACUAUACUAUAUGACAAAUUCAUAUAUAGUAUAGAUUUAAAACCUAAUUUAUAGAAUAUAAUACAUAAUUUAAAAAAUAUAUGCUUAUUUAAAAAAAUUUUAAAAAUUUCAAAACAGAUUACGUCUAGAAAAAAUCUAUGUUUUUAUUAUGUGAAAUUUAAAACUGAAUAAUUGUUUUACCAAAAACUAAAAGCAAUUAAAAUUAUAAGGGGUAACAUAUGUAUAAUUUACAAAUGAACAAAAUUUAGCACAACACACACGCAUACAUAGGGGUGCAAAUGUGAUUAAUACAUACUAUAGGGUGUAUCUUUAACACCUAAGUUGUUAUGUACAUUUGAUGAAUUAUUAUUUUUUGUGUGUCAUUAAGAUCAAAUUUCCCAGUAAAUAAUGAAGAUCGAAGACGUGUGCAAAAUAAUUUGUAAAGUUUGGUUUCUUUGUAUUUUGAUAGCUAGGUUUGGUUUAAUAAUUUGUUGUUUACAUUAUGGCUACAAUUAAACCACGUGUAUAUUUGAAAUACAUGGAAUUUUAUAAUUUUUAGGAAUAAAUAAGUAUUAGAUAAAUGUUAAAUAAUGGUUUUUUUAAAAUGUUUGAGAAAAAGCAGAUAUUUUAUAAUUUUUCUAAAACAGUCUAAAUAAAAAAAUGGAUAAAAAAAUCAUGACUUUUUUUAUUUUUAAUAGUUAAAGUAGAAGAAUGACGAUAAAAAAAAAGUUAAAGUCGAAGAAAAUGAGAUAUUAAUCUGUUAUUAUAGUUUUAUCAUUUUCUUCGACUUCAACUUUUUUUAUUUUUACAGCAAAAGAAUUAGGUCAUAUGAAAUGCGUUUCUUAGGAUUUUAGUUACACAUGCGCAGAUUUGGUUAAAAUGUAUAAACGCGAUUUACGAUCUAAUUUAGUUUUUUUUUUGGUGAAAGUUCAUCAAAUCCAUCAAAAUCAUAAAUGAAGUAAAUCAUUUUGAUCUUUCAAGUAUUUCUUGUAAACUUUGACAAAAGUAAGAUUUUUUUGCCUAUAGUUCUUUUUCAAGUCAAAAAUCAACCAUGAUAAUACUCCAAUUAAAUUAUAAAUUACUUUUAUUAAAGAAAGUCGAACUAAUGGUUUUAGAGACUUCAAAAUACCAUCCACUUAGAGCUGGGUUGCGGGUCAAACCCGCCCCGCUGACCCGCCAACCCGCAGGUAAACUGAUUUUUUUUACUUAAAAAAUUUGACCCGCUUGACCCGCAAGAAGAAAAUAUGAAAUCCGCACCCGCCCCGCUAAAAUCCGCGGGUGAUCCGCUAGACCCGCGGAUAAUAUUAAUAAUAUUAAAAAUUAUUAAUUUAAAUAUUUUUUAUUAAAAUAACAAUAAAAUUUAAUAUUUUAAAUAUUUUUUAUUAAAAAUAACAAUAAAAUUUAAUAUUUUAAAUAUUUUUUAUUAAAAAUAAUAAAUAUUAAUCUAUUUAUAAUUAAAAUUAAAUUAUUUUUAAAAAAAUUUCUAUUUAAAAAUAAUAUUUUCAAAAAAAAUCUUUUUUUUUUAGUUUUUGCGGGUUGGCUGACCCGCACCCGCCCCGCAUAAAAAUCACUCAACCCGCACCCGCACCCACGAACCAAAAUUUUCAAAUUACUCGAUCCGCACCCGCCCCGCAGCGGGUCAAAUGGGGCGGGGCCCGCGGAUAAUGAUUCAUAUUCCCAGCACUACAUUUUUUUUUUUUUUCCACUGGAAUUUUAUUGAAUGGGUUUAAACCCAACAAAGGCAAAAGCCCAAAGUUUACAAACAAAAGGCCAACAGAACUGGCCAAAGAUAAAACCCAACACACGGGCCGUAGCGAAAACUACCAUAUGGGCCAAAGCCCAAACAAGGAGAACCCGUUGAGGAAGAAGAGACACGUCCAUACCACGCGUCCGAUCGCCCAGCGAUCAAUGAACACGCGUCAAAACGCGUACCAUCUGCUUCCACCGGAGCCAGAGAAGGUCACGACGGAGCUCUGCCGACGGCGGAAUCAAAGCGACAGAAACCGAUCAACCAGAGCGGUUUACACGAGGCUCGAACCGAGGAGACAGAUUCCCAGCACUACAUCCACUUGAUAACUUUUGUUUCUCUAUUUAUUAUAUUUCAAAAUGCUAUUGCCUUUUAUUUCAUAUCUAUUUCAUGAUACAAACGAAAACAGACAAAACUGGAGAGUAGAAGCGUGGGGCGGCUCGUCGUGUUCGUGGCACGAUAUUUGAAGAGUCGUAUUGAUCUUGAGUUCUGCGUUGACCCUUUAUGUAGAAAAUUAAAAUACAAAAGAGAUAAAUUAGUCAACGUCAACUUUACCUAAAAGUGAAAUUUAUAAGAAUGCAGUGGUCAACCACGGAUCGAUAGCCACAUAACCAAAUACAUAUAUGUUUUGAUUGUGCUUAAUUUAUGUGCAUUUAGCGUGUCAAAUGAUUAUAUAUUUCGAGUUUAUUACUAUUUACUUUUUUCUUAAUUUAAAGAUAAUUACAAAUUUGUAAAUCUUUUCUCAGCUAACAAUCAAAAGUUCACUUUGUAUGUUCUGUUAAACAACAAAAAGAAUUGAUACAAAUUUUAAUAUUUACACUAAAAAAAAGUUUAAGAACCAAAAGAUAUUACAGUAAAAUUUUUAUAAAUUAAUAACUUUUACAGAAAUUAGUCCACUAUAAAAUAAAAUAUAAUCUAAUAUAAUAAUAAGAUAACAAUUUUUAUUUUUAUGUAAUUAUAUUGUCACAAUAUAAACAUAAUUUAAUAUUCAAUAUAUGUAUUUAUAUAAAUAUUUUACUGUUUAUUAUUUCUUUAGAGUGAUUUUAUUUUUAACUUUUUAAAUUCUUUAGAAUAUUUUGAUGUUAUUUUUUCCUUACAUACGAAAAAUGCUACAUUUAAGACACCAAAUAAUCAAAUAAAAUAACCAGUAUCUGUAAAAUUCAUUCUCUGUAUAUAUUCUAAAAAUCAAUUUUGUUCUUAUUUUUACAUAACAACAUAUUUCAAAAUAUAUAAGAUUGAAAAUAAUAUAUAAAUUAAUAAAUAUUAUAAUCUUAACAUUCUUAAUUUGUAGAUUUUUUUUACUGUAUUCAAUGUUUAUUUUAUAUAAUUUGCAAUGUAUCUACAAAUAAAAUGUUGUGGGUUUACUCUGACAUUAUUACAAUCCCAAAUAAAUUCGGGUUUCAAAAUAAAUAUAAGAUGUAGUGCACAGCUGUACACGCAUUAGAGAUUAUAAUUGUCAUAUUUAGGUCUUAACACCAAACAAAUGAACUUUUUGUAUAUGCUCUAUCGGUUGAUCCGGUUUUUUGUAUAUGCUUUAUCGGUUGAUCCGGUCGGUCCCGACAAAAACGCAUUUAUUACUAUAAAGUGGACUGGUUUGAAAGUGUACUACACUGCUUGAUCUGAAUCUAGAAUACCCUGUGAUUAAUGCCAGAAAGUGAACCUAUCAUCUGUUACGCUAUGCUAUGUAAAUUAUUUUGGUCAAAACCCAAAUCCAGACUGAUAAACUAGUGAUAAUUUAGUUUACAAGAAGUACAUGAAUCUUUGAUGAUCUGUUCGGAGAUUGCAUUGGGUUCUUGCUGUAUAGUUUGAUAUGAAACUAAUUUUUCUAUUAAAAAAAUACUGCACACAUGCGACAUCCAUCAUAAAAUUGGAAUGGAAAAAGAAAACGGGAACUAGUAAAAAUUAUAAUAUUAAAGCAUUGGAAUUGAAAACAAUUGUGUUGUAUUAAUCUCUGUUGUUCUUUUUGACCUUCCUUAUUAAUUAUUUUUAUUCUAAUAAAAAAAGUUUUAUCGCAUCUUCAUUUUUUUCUGACGUAAAUAAUCCCUUCAACCGGAGUCAGAGGGUACUAUAUUUUUACUUUCUAAGUCGUCGGCCUUUUCUUUCUCAUGUCUGUCUUGUUCGAGCUAUGGGUUUUUCUCGCCGCCUUUGUUCUCUCUUUAAUCAACGACAACUCAUGCACAAAAGCGCCGAUUUGAGCAAGAGGCUGUUGUCGGGGUUGAUGGUGCUGUCUGGUUUGUUGCUGCAUAUUUUCCACUCAUUUGGUGGUACAAGAGCGGAGAUGAGGAGCGGGCUUAGGAUAGGCGUCAACCCUUUAUCUAGCUUUCUCAAAUCGUUCAACCAAGCUUCAGUUUUUUUGCGGAUUUAGAGUUUCGACAUCGAUUGUGGUGGUGUGUGGAGCCCUGACGAGAUUUAUACUCCAUGUAUCUGCUGUGGCGUCUCUCCCUUGUGUCUCUUGUGCGAUUUGGGAGGUCAUGUGGUUGGUUCUCAGCCACAAGGGCAUGUGAGAAGUUAUCCUCUCUCAGAGUAGUCGCACAAGCUUAGGUAGCUUCUGUGGCAUCCCGAGACUGCAUCCACAUCGCCUUAGUGGUCUCUGUCUCUCAGUAUCAGGUUCUUGGCUGUGGAAACUCGUUCUCUCUCUUCUUUAAUAAAAUUUUUCGUUUAGCCUAUGCUCUGUGUAUGUCUUUGCGUUAGUUGUUUUUCUAGCUUAUAAAUUUAUUGGGUUAGUUAGUUUAUCUUCAAGAGAUGUGAUUGGGAAUACACCGAAACGACCAAAUUCGGUCUUUCAUUUACAACUUUCAAUCAACGGCAUCAAUUAGCUCUCUCAUGUAAUCUCUCUCUUCAAUUAAGGUGCAAGUGCGUUUGGGAUAUCGAUCUGUCCAUAUCGUGUCCGCUGAAUUUUUUCAUUUAUUGCUGUUAUUGGGAUUUAAAUUUAUGCAUACGUGUUUUUAUUACCUA